UGAAAAAAAAAACUGAAUCUUAAGAUCCUUUGCUAGCUGCACAUCCGUGUUCUUAACAUGUUCAAGGCAUUUACUCAUUUGCUCAAGCAAUCUACAUAACUCGGGUAUUCAGUAAAAGUUUUUAGAAGUUGUAAUGCAUGUCUAAUGCUCAAGGUGGAAUACAUAUUCUGUCAAGCGCUGUAGUUUACUGGAAUCCAGUUUCUGCUCUGUCACAAUCAGCUGCUUCUUCACAGUUAGCAUCCCUGAUGCAGGAUCAACAAUCCAACCUUGCUGCAUUACAUAGUUUGAAGCAUCAUCCUCGUUCAUUCCAAUAAAGUGAGCUGUGUCUUGGAUGCUUAUUGUUGAAUAAGCAGACAGCAACAGCUGAAACAUCCUCUUGGUGUAAAGCUCUGAGAAUGCAGCAACAAGAACACGAGUUUCUUGACUCCAAUCAAAACCACGAAUAGCCUCAUGCACACCUGCAUAGUCACGUGUCCAUAAUUUCUGACCAAUUCUCCAAGCUGCUACCACUUCCGGUUGGUUUUCUUUGACAGCUGAGGGUAUUGAUUUCCAGAGAAAUCGAGCACUGUUAAUAUCAUUAACAUAAAUAUGGCCCAGAAGAUGAAUAGCAUAAGGCCAUUCGUCCUGAAAAGGAAUCCCCUCUGCUGCGAACUUGAGCAUGAGUUCGUCACAGAUAUCAGAAAUCUUGUCAUAGGAUUUUGAUGACAAUGUGUCUGUGAGAGGAGUGAAAUCCAUGGUUGCUAGCUUUCGCUUACUGGUUUCUGUACAGAAAGAGGAGAAGCAAGAGAAAG
This 791-nucleotide unclassified non-coding RNA is filed under the name Hevea brasiliensis (rubber tree). Lineage: Eukaryota; Viridiplantae; Streptophyta; Magnoliopsida; Malpighiales; Euphorbiaceae. The record is from RNAcentral.